GACGAACGCUGGCGGCGUGCUUAACACAUGCCAGUCGAACGGAAAGGCCCCUUUGUUGGUCCUCGAGUGGCGAACGGGUGAGUAACACUUGAGUAACCUGCCCUUGACUUCGGGAUAACUUCAGGAAACUGGGGCUAAUACCGGAUAGGAAUCCUUUCUUCAUGGGGGGGGUUGGAAAGCUUCGGCGGUUUUGGAUGGACUCGCGGCUUAUCAGCUUGUUGGUGGGGUAGUGGCUUACCAAGGCUUUGACGGGUAGCCGGCCUGAGAGGGCGACCGGCCACAUUGGGACUGAGAUACGGCCCAGACUCCUAAGGGAGGCAGAAGUGGGGAAUAUUGCACAAUGGGCGGAAGCCUGAGGCAGCAAGGCCGCGGGCGGGAUGACGGCCUUCGGGUUGUAAACCGCUUUCAGCAGGGGCGAAGCUUGUGGUGACGGUACCUGAAGAAGAAGCACCGGCUAACUACGUG
RNAcentral lists this ribosomal RNA (465 nucleotides) under uncultured bacterium. RNAcentral describes it as "partial 16S ribosomal RNA". It matches the Rfam family "Bacterial small subunit ribosomal RNA", at positions 28 to 507 of the family's 1533-position model. The record is from RNAcentral.